Molecule: ribosomal RNA, 468 nt
Filed under: uncultured bacterium
Lineage: Bacteria
Description: partial 16S ribosomal RNA
Rfam family: Bacterial small subunit ribosomal RNA
Source: RNAcentral
GACGAACGCUGGCGGCGUGCUUAACACAUGCAAGUCGAACGGAAAGGCCCUGCUUUUGUGGGGUGCUCGAGUGGCGAACGGGUGAGUAACACGUGAGUAACCUGCCCUUGACUUUGGGAUAACUUCAGGAAACUGGGGCUAAUACCGGAUAGGAUCUCCUGCUGCAUGGUGGUGGUUGGAAAGUUUCGGCGGUUGGGGAUGGACUCGCGGCUUAUCAGCUUGUUGGUGGGGUAGUGGCUUACCAAGGCUUUGACGGGUAGCCGGCCUGAGAGGGUGACCGGCAACAUUGGGACUGAGAUACGGCCCAGACUCCUACGGGAGGCAGCAGUGGGGAAUAUUGCACAAUGGGCGGAAGCCUGAUGAAGCAACGCUGCGUGCGGGAUGACGGCCUUCGGGUUGUAAAAAGCUUUCGCCUGUGACGAAGCGUGAGUGACGGUAAUGGGUAAAGAAGCACCGGCUAACUACGUG